ACCACAUAUAUUCAACCAUCAACUAACUUAUUAAUCAAACCAAUUCAUAUAACCUAAUACCAUACAUAUAUACACCAUGAAAUAUACUUCCAAAUUAAAUUUAAGCCAUAGUCACAUACACACAAACUUUAACAUUUUAAUCAAGCCAUUUUCGGAUGGCUCUCAAUAAAUACAUACUUCAAAAUCAACAUAAUAACUAGCCUAUACAUGCCAUAGGUUCAAGUUCAAACUUAUAAAAUACCACAAAGGUGAUUGAUAGUGUGAUGGAUUUCUCUGACGAUCCCUGAGCUCAUAACUAGCUUCCAAAAUCUAUAAAAACAAAGAACAUACACACACAGAGUAAGCUUGAAUAGCUUAGUAAGUCAUAAGCAAAUAAAUCAUUUCAAUGACAUUUAUAAUUCAAUAUAAUUAAACCAAAUCAUACCAAUCAUAAGUACAUAUAUAAUUAUCAAGCUUGCAACCUCAUAUAUCAAUACAUAUACUCUAGCAUUAUUUUUACCACUUGGCUGAAUACAUAUAUAUUCAUAAGCAUAUUUAACUUACAUUUUCAUGAUGCACAUUUCAUAUAUCCAUAUAAAGUAUAUACUUACCUUACUACUCAAUCAUUUAACUUAAUAUAUACCUAAUCAUUUUAGCUCGAUUUCACAUUCGAUCUUAACUCAAUAUUUCCCGUUGAACCAUUCGGAAUUAAUAAGGACACUCGAAUAGUCGAAAAGCUCGUAUAACGCCAACGUCCCAGACGUGGUCUUACAUGUAAUCACAUAUCGGUGCCACUGUCCCAGACAAGGUCUUACAUGAACUUAUAUACGAUGUCGAUGUCCCAGACAUGGUCUUACACGUAAAUCACAUAUCAGAAUCCUAUUUCAUGACAUAUGUAUCCUAACUAUUCCUAAGGUUCGUACAGGGCUUUCAGAUGUCGUAAUUUAGAUCGAUUCAUGCUCGUAAUAAAUCAUUCCAUGCUAAAUUCAAUUCGGAAAUAUAGUUAUACAUACAUACAAUUCAAUUCGGCUAUGUAUAUAGUAAAUACAUUCAAUUUAACAUCAUUUAUUCACUUAUGAACUUACCUCGUACGAAGACGAAUAGACCGGGUCGACUAUUCAACAACUUUAGAUUUACCCCGAUCCAAAUCCAAUUUUCUCUUUUCUUGAUCUAAAUUAAUAUAAAUUAAACUUAUUUAAUCAAAUAUUCAAUCAAAUUCAUCCAAAAACACAUAAAUGGGUAAAUUACACUUUUUCCCCUGACAUUUCACAUUUUUUGCAAUUUAGUCCCUAUUUCAUAAAACACAAAAUAUUCAAAAUUUGAAUACACCCAUGUUAGGCCGAAUUUAUCCCUAGUCCAUACAAGCCCAUAUGUUUCAUUUAUUUCAUAUUUUGAUCCCUCAAUUUACAAAAUUCACAAUUUAGUCCUAAAUAGACAUUUUUAUUAAAAAUCACUUAAUUAAACUUGACAAUCUAACAACAUAUAUUUAUUUUUCAUCAUCAAACACAAAAAUCAUUAAGCUAUCAACAAUGACAAUUCAUGAAUACAUCAUCAAAUUCAAAAAUUCAAGCAUGGGCUAGCUAGUACUUGAAGCAACGAUCUUAAAAAUGUAAAAAUUAUUAAAAACCGAACAAAAACUAACCUUGAAUCAAGCUUGAACAAGACCGAAUAUUUGAAAGCUUAAAACCCCUUUUUCUUUGUCAAGUUUCAGCCAACAAGAUGAACAAAAUUCAUGGCUUUUUAAUUUAU
This 1728-nucleotide long non-coding RNA is filed under the name Gossypium barbadense (sea-island cotton). RNAcentral's name for it is "long non-coding RNA (GBAR_LNC012898)". The record is from RNAcentral. Lineage: Eukaryota; Viridiplantae; Streptophyta; Magnoliopsida; Malvales; Malvaceae.